GUGUGUGUGUGUAUUGGUUUUAUUAAGGCAUAAUUGACAAAGAUUAAUCUUUGUCAAUUAUGCCUUAAUAAAACCAAUAGACAU
Molecule: microRNA precursor, 84 nt
Filed under: Marmota monax (woodchuck)
Lineage: Eukaryota; Metazoa; Chordata; Mammalia; Rodentia; Sciuridae
Source: RNAcentral